Molecule: unclassified non-coding RNA, 404 nt
Filed under: soil metagenome
Description: partial contains 5.8S ribosomal RNA, internal transcribed spacer 2, and large subunit ribosomal RNA
Rfam family: 5.8S ribosomal RNA (bases 1-122)
Source: RNAcentral
GAUGAAGAACGUAGCAAAAUGCGAUACUUGGUGUGAAUUGCAGAAUCCCGUGAACCAUCGAGUUUUUGAACGCAAGUUGCGCCCGAAGCCUUUUGGCCGAGGGCACGUCUGCCUGGGCGUCACGCAUCGCGUCGCCCCCCACAAUUCUUCGUAAGGGGAACUCGUGUUUUGGGGGCGGAUAUUGGUCUCCCGUGCUCACGGCGUGGUUGGCCGAAAUAGGAGUCCCUUCGAUGGACGCACGAACUAGUGGUGGUCGUAAAAACCCUCGUCUUUUGUUUCGUGCUGUUAGUCGCAAGGGAAACUCUAAGAAAACCCCAACGUGUCGUCUUAUGACGGCGCUUCGCCCGCGACCCCAGGUCAGGCGGGACUACCCGCUGAGUUUAAGCAUAUCAAUAAGCGGAGGA